AUCUAAGGCCAUACCACCCUGAAGGUGUCCCAUCAUCUCCUCUGAUCUCAGAAGCUAAGUAGGGUCAGGUCUGGUUAGUACUUGGAUGGGAGAAUGCGCGUGAGACAUUGGCCUCUUCAUC
Molecule: ribosomal RNA, 121 nt
Filed under: Pan paniscus (pygmy chimpanzee)
Lineage: Eukaryota; Metazoa; Chordata; Mammalia; Primates; Hominidae
Source: RNAcentral